CUUUGCAGGGGGCAAACCAGGCUCUGAAUCACUCUGCCAUCAACUCCCCAACAUUUUUAAGCUUCUUGGGCUUCCAUUCCCUUUUCCAGAGCUGGGGCAAAGCCCAAACCAGGGCCACGCAAGGAGGCCUGUGAAGAGGUGCUGGCCCAGAAACCGCUACUGUCCUGGGAUGAGGAAGCACAGAAUCGGACCAUUCAAUUUCCAAUUUUAGCCCAAUGAGAGGAAAGACCAUUUUUGCAAACUUGUGAUUGUUCGAGGGCCCGAGGCCCCUGAUCCUCAAGUAUUGAAAUGCUCCAGACGGCGGGACUUUGGUUCGAGGCAUAGAACCUGAAGUGAAAAGAUGGUGUAUUAAUUUUCCUUGAUUCCAAGAACUGAACCAGAGAAGAGUCUGCUUCCUUGGAUUACUCUUGUUAUUUUAAAAGCUAUAACUGUAUGUAUUUGUUUUCAAUUUCUUUUGUACUUAGGUAAAAACUGGA
Hippopotamus amphibius kiboko is the source of this 476-nucleotide long non-coding RNA. RefSeq lists it as uncharacterized. NCBI's taxonomy places the organism in Eukaryota, Metazoa, Chordata, Mammalia, Artiodactyla, Hippopotamidae. The record is from RefSeq and is a predicted model, not a curated record. The transcript is spliced from 3 exons.